UAAAUUGAACAGUAAAAUUUAGUUAUUAUAAUAAUUUUAAAAAAGUUUAAGCUAGAAAUUGUAACGAUGCAAAGUUUGGGAACUCAUCAGUAAUAGGUCGCAAUAAGUCAUCUAAAUUGAAAAGUAAAACUUAGUUACAAUAAUAAUUUAAAAGAGUUUAAAUCAGAAACUGUAACAAUGUAAAGUUUGAGAACUACGAGUGGUGAGAAAGCAUGAUAGAAAUUAAUAAUGUUAACGAAGGAGGAGCUCAUGAAAAGGAAAAAAUAAAAUCAUAGAAUACUAAAUUAACAAACUUUAAAUUAAUUAUAAAGUACUAAACUAAAAAAGCGCAAAAUCAUAAAAAUAACAUUUAAAAUUUAUCGAUCGAUUAAAGUACUGAACGAAUUUAAAGUGUGACGUGCCUCAUAGUUUAAGGAUCAAAAGUGUAAUAAUAUAUAGGAAAAAUUACUUAUAUACUCCUGAAAAAUUUCCGACUUUCUGAUUUACCCCUCUUGGAAGACUAAUAUUGAAAUUACCUUUUUUAUGUUCCAACUUAUUUUAUAUAUACUCCUAGAGUUAAAAUUUGUUAAUGAACUUGUUAUCUCUAUGAAAUUACUAUUUUUCCCUUUUAAAUAUAUUUCCUUAUACCAUCAUCGACUUUUUUUAUUUUUUCUUAAGUUAGGGGCAUAAAAAGUAUUUUGCUUUUUGAUUUUUUUAAAUAUACCCUUCUACCAUCACCAAUAUUUCUUAUUUGCUCUUAAGUUAAGGACAAAAGUGUUAUUUUAAUAUUUUUUUAAUUGUAGUUGAUAUUUAACUUACAUUUAACUCACAUUAACUUAACGGAUGAUAACUGUAGGAGUAUUUUGGAAUAACUGAAGAACAUAUGAAAGGUAUAUUGGAAAGAAAAGAAAAAAGAGUAAAUAAAAUAUUUUUAAAAUUUUGAGGGAUUUUUGUGCAAUUAUCCAUAAUAUAUA
Molecule: long non-coding RNA, 953 nt
Filed under: Ananas comosus (pineapple)
Lineage: Eukaryota; Viridiplantae; Streptophyta; Magnoliopsida; Poales; Bromeliaceae
Description: long non-coding RNA (ACOM_LNC035821)
Source: RNAcentral